AAGGGAGACCUAAUUCCGGUAGGAGACGGAAAAAAAGUAGUCCCAACCAAGAAUCAAUCCCAAAAGGUCGGAACGAGGUAUGAGGCUUUCAAACUAGGUUCUGGGUUCAUAAAAGACCUGAAUCAGGAACAAGGGCUAUUAGCUCAGGUGGUUAGAGCGCACCCCUGAUAAGGGUGAGGUCCCUGGUUCGAGUCCAGGAUGGCCCACCUGCACAGGUGGCAAAAACAAGAGAAGCUCCGAAUCAGCACCUUAUCUUAUAUACAUAUAUAAGAGAGAAUGCUGGCUCUGAGUACAGAGUCCAGAGGAACCUUGAAAACUGCAUAGAGCUAGGUGAAAAAGCCAAAAAAGAAGACCGCAA
This 358-nucleotide transfer RNA is filed under the name uncultured Microcystis sp. RNAcentral's name for it is "partial 16S-23S ribosomal RNA intergenic spacer". The stretch from base 133 to 206 matches the Rfam family "tRNA". Lineage: Bacteria; Bacillati; Cyanobacteriota; Cyanophyceae; Chroococcales; Microcystaceae. The record is from RNAcentral.